This 252-nucleotide ribosomal RNA is filed under the name uncultured bacterium. RNAcentral describes it as "partial 16S ribosomal RNA". It matches the Rfam family "Bacterial small subunit ribosomal RNA", at positions 524 to 776 of the family's 1533-position model. The record is from RNAcentral.
UACGGGGGGUGCGAGCGUUGUCCGGAUUCACUGGGCGUAAAGGGCGCGUAGGCGGCCUGGUCAGUCGGACCUUUAAGAGCGGGGCUCACCCCCGUGGUGGGUUCGGGACGGCCGGGCUGGGGCGCGGCAGAGGGGGACGGAAUGCCGGGUGUAGUGGUGAAAUGCGUAGAGAUCCGGCGGAACACCGGUGGUGAAGACGGUCCCCUGGGCCGAGGCCGACGCUGAGGCGCGAGAGCGCGGGGAGCGAACCGG